UUAUUUAUUUAUUUUUUUUUUCUUUUCAACAACUUGUUUCUAUUUCCCUUUUUAGAGAUGUCUGUAGGUUCUUUCUAGCAUUUUGUCGGCCGUAUCAAUGAUUCUGAAUGGGAAAAUAUAGAGCUAUGAAUUGGAACAUCAUUUGCAUCAAAUGCUAAUAAUCUUAAAUGAUUUGUUAAGCAGUUUUCCAGUUGAGGAAUAAUUACGUAAAUUUAGUAAUAGUAACGAAGUACAUAGUAUAUAUUUUAUUAUAUUUUUAUGGAAGCAAUAUUAAAGGAGAUAUUAAAAGAAAAAUGACGCGGGUAUUUAAAAUAAAACGUGGCUAUGCGCUUGCCUUGAGUGAAAUAAGAUUAUCCCUUUGUUAUGAUUUUCACAUACAAAUAUUGGUGCGAAGUUUAUCGAGGAUUACGCUGUGCGUAUACGCGACGAUGAUAUAUUUGUUCGAUGGAUACUAGCUUGAUACGCCUUUGUAUUGUUCUUGUUGAUUUCAGGAAAUUUGUUUUCUGUUUGGACUCGGUAUAAAUGGCAAUGGGAGAUGAUUUUUUUCUGGCAGUACAAUCUUUGAUUUCGACAAUAUUUGGUUGUUCCUUUGCAUGUAUAGGUUUUGUUAAUUAUUCCAAUAAAAAUGCAAUUUUAUUUUAUAAUAAUUAAUAAUGAUUGUAAUUAUUAAUAAAUCACAAUUAUUAAUUGUAAU
Molecule: long non-coding RNA, 694 nt
Organism: Vespula pensylvanica (western yellowjacket)
Lineage: Eukaryota; Metazoa; Arthropoda; Insecta; Hymenoptera; Vespidae
Exons: 3
Source: RefSeq, a predicted model, not a curated record